UAAGUCUUUUUUUUUAGAAAAUUCUGUUUUAGAUGCAAAUCUUUGUAUUAAUAAAAUUUUAUUUUAGAAAGAUGAAAGUUUUUUAUUAAAUUUGCAAUAAAAAUUUUUAUAAAUUUAGGAAAACUAAGAUAUAGUAUUAGAUUUUAGUACAGAUAAAGUUUGUGCCAGCAGUAGCGGUUAGACAAACUGUGCAAUAAAAAAUGUUUAGUUUUAGAAAAAUUUUAAUUUUGAGUUUUAAUAAAAAUUUAUUAGGUGAAAUUUUAAAUUUUUAAAAGCUUAGAUUUUUGAAUUGAUUCUAAUAAAUUUUAUAAUAAACUAGGAUUAGAUACCCUAUUAUUAAAAUGUAAGUUUUAUAGGCUAAAUUAGUAUUAGUUAUGUUCUUGAAAAUUAAAAUAGUUGGCGGUAUUUUAGUCUGUUCAGAGGAGCCUGUCCUGUAAUUGAUAAUCCACGAUUUAAUUUACUUAUUUUUUUAAUUUAUAUAUCGCCGUAGGUUGAAUAUUUUAAAAGAAUUUAAAUAUUCAUAAUUUUUUAAGAAAGAAAAUCAGGUCAAGAUGUAGUUUAUAGAUAAGGAGAGAUGGGCUACAAUAAAUUUUUAAACGGAUAAAUUUUUGUAAUUGGUUUUGAAGGUGGAUUUGAAGGUAAUUUUAAAAAAAUUUUUAAAAUGAUUUAAGCUCUAAAAUAUGUACAUAUCGCCCGUCACUUUCACUUUAAAGGUGGAAUAAGUCGUAACAAAGUAGGAGUACUGGAAAGUGUUCCUAGAUGAAC
This 765-nucleotide non-coding RNA is filed under the name Curculionoidea sp. 21 KM-2017. The record is from RNAcentral. Lineage: Eukaryota; Metazoa; Arthropoda; Insecta; Coleoptera.